RNAcentral lists this ribosomal RNA (556 nucleotides) under uncultured bacterium. RNAcentral describes it as "bacterial SSU rRNA". It matches the Rfam family "Bacterial small subunit ribosomal RNA", at positions 338 to 916 of the family's 1533-position model. The record is from RNAcentral.
CCUACGGGAGGCAGCAGUGGGGAAUCUUGCACAAUGGAGGAAACUCUGAUGCAGCGAUGCCGCGUGAGUGAAGAAGGCCUUUGGGUUGUAAAGCUCUUUUGUAGGGGAAGAUAAUGACUGUACCCUAAGAAUAAGGUCCGGCUAACUUCGUGCCAGCAGCCGCGGUAAUACGAAGGGACCUAGCGUAGUUCGGAAUUACUGGGCGUAAAGCGCGCGUAGGCCGUUGAGUUAGUUAAUUGUGAAAUCCCAAAGCUUAACUUUGGAACUGCAAUUAAAACUGCUCGACUAGAGUUUGAUAGAGGAAAGCGGAAUACAUAGUGUAGAGGUGAAAUUCGUAGAUAUUAUGUAGGACGCCAGUUGCGAAGGCGGCUUUCUGGAUCAACACUGACGCUGAGGCGCGAAAGUAUGGGUAGCAAAGAGGAUUAGAUACCCUCGUAGUCCAUACCAUAAACGAUGAUUGCUAGAUGUUGGAAAUUUAUUUUCAGUAUCGCAGCUAACGCAUUAAGCAAUCCGCCUGGGGAUACGACCGCAAGGUUAAAACUCAAAGGAUUGACGG